CGUGCACUGCAGCAGCACCGGGACUUGACAGCCCUACGGCUCGAUCAGCUUUCUGUUUUCAUUGCCUUACGAUGCCAUGAGUGGAACUAUUGUCAAAUCAGAGUUCACUCCCCAGCUUUUCAGUCUUUCCCCUAAUUCUUGCUCUAUCAGAGGUCGAGGACAACAGUAUAAUGAUUCAUAGGUUCUACUUCCUGGCAAGUAAUCAUUUUCCCACGGGCCCUUGUGAAUUGAUGAAUAUGAAGACACUAAGAAAGCAGAAAUAGAACUGAGAAGAAUGAAAUAACUGUCUCUACCUUUCUCGAAUUGUCUAAUAUGGAAAGAAUGAAAGACAGCUAAUAAGCAACUCUCUGCAAGAAGACAUAUGGCUUAGGUUCUGCUGAGCUAUUGGUGAUUUGAUUCCAUGCAUAUGUAUUCACUACUGAGAUGGGAUCUUGCUAUGUGGCCCAGGCUGGCCUCAAACUCCUG
RNAcentral lists this long non-coding RNA (465 nucleotides) under Homo sapiens (human). RNAcentral describes it as "non-protein coding LINC02541:57". The record is from RNAcentral. Lineage: Eukaryota; Metazoa; Chordata; Mammalia; Primates; Hominidae.